UACGUAGGGGGCGAGCGUUGUCCGGAAUCAUUGGGCGUAAAGCGCGUGUAGGCGGCGCGGUAAGUCCGGUGUGAAACCUUGGGGCUCAACCCCAAGCCUGCAUCGGAUACUGCCGUGCUCGAGUCCGGGAGAGGAAAGCGGAAUUCCUAGUGUAGCGGUGAAAUGCGCAGAUAUUAGGAAGAACACCUGUGGCGAAGGCGGCUUUCUGGAACGGUACUGACGCUGAGACGCGAAAGCGUGGGGAGCGAACAGG
This 253-nucleotide ribosomal RNA is filed under the name uncultured bacterium. Its description in RNAcentral is "partial 16S ribosomal RNA". It matches the Rfam family "Bacterial small subunit ribosomal RNA", at positions 524 to 776 of the family's 1533-position model. The record is from RNAcentral.